Vidua chalybeata is the source of this 1408-nucleotide long non-coding RNA. RefSeq lists it as uncharacterized. Lineage: Eukaryota; Metazoa; Chordata; Aves; Passeriformes; Viduidae. The record is from RefSeq and is a predicted model, not a curated record. The transcript is spliced from 5 exons.
CCCGGGGCUGCAGGCAGAGCGCCCCCCGCCCCGCUCACCUUCCCGCAGCCGCGCGGUGGUCACACCGAGGAUCCGCUUCGGGAGCGGCGGGUGUCCCGGUGCUGCCCCUCGCUCGGCUCUGAGUGACCCUCUCGAGCACCAGUGACAUGAGUCACGGCUGUGCUCGUCCUGCCUGGACCAGACUGGCUGAAGGGCAGAAUUCAAGAUCUCCCCAGGCGUAAAUUCUUCGCCUCACGAGCAGGGGUACCCAGGGCUGUCCGUUUCUAUCACAUUGUGCUUUUACUUGGUUCCACACACCUACACCACUUCUCCAUCUUUUCCUACUGUUCACUUGGGUUUUUUUCCUAACGCCUGUGUUGAUAGGAAGCUGCAAUUUGGGUUUAUAUUUUUUAUUAUUUUUUUAAUUCUCAUUAAUUCACAAAUAAUGACAAGGGAAGUUUCAAAUCACCCCCCUCCCCCAGUUCCUGUCUUGCAAGGAGCUUGAAGAACAGCCAGAAGAUGGUUGUGUGGAAAGGAAGUAAGAGAGGUCAUCUCACUGCUCUGAUAACACAGGAAGAGCAAGUCCUUCUUUCCCCUCUGUAGCUGCUGUAUUGGGAUCACCUUUGUUGCCCUAUACUUCAGCAUCCUCAGGUCAAUCAUAUACAAGAAAAGCUGAGAACUGCAGUGAUUUCUGUCUCACUCCAAAGGAGCUUUCUUCUCAAUAACAAAACAAAAAAGGCUGCAGGUAAUGGUCAUGGAGUGCUUGAAGGCCAUCUGCCUUCCCUCAUCACAAAGUGAAGGGAAUCAAUGGGAGACCUUUACAAAGUUGGACUUUGAGAGUGGCCAGUCCUGCCUCAGAGUCUCCUCUGAUCCAUGGGAGCCUGGGCUGUUCCACAGAAUGGUCCUGUGCCUUGACACUAAUUUAUCAUCCACCAUGACCCCAAGCUCGUGGAUAAGGAAGGAAUACCCAUGGCUGCUACCAUCCCGGCACCUCUGGCUUCAGAUAAAUCACCAAGCUUGGAGCAUGACUGCCCCAGGAAGAAAGAAAAGCAACUGCAUUGCUCUGCUCAACACAUGGCAGCUUGCUCCUCUCCUCUCCACAGAACAUUGAUCUUCAAGGCCAUACAUGAUUAAAGGAGUGGGAAACAUUCCCUGGAAUUAGCUGUUCCCUUUUUCUUCUUCCUGCUUAAGGUAAGAGCUGUACAAACUCCCUCUAUAAUAGUCACCUAACAGAGAAUACAAUGACUAGUCUGUCAUCAAAGUAUUUAGGGAUGAUGAUGAUACCUAGAUUGGUUUUCAGUGUGUUUUUUGUUUUUAUUUUACUGUGAGGUUUCUACAAAAUCCAUAAAUCAUAGGAAUGUGAUAAGAAACAGGUCGUAGUUGCUGGUUAUUCUUGUCCAGAUGCACAGAAAUACCCUGAUUGUUUCUU